RNAcentral lists this ribosomal RNA (2902 nucleotides) under Klebsiella quasipneumoniae. RNAcentral describes it as "23S ribosomal RNA". It matches the Rfam family "Bacterial large subunit ribosomal RNA". The record is from RNAcentral. Lineage: Bacteria; Pseudomonadati; Pseudomonadota; Gammaproteobacteria; Enterobacterales; Enterobacteriaceae.
GGUUAAGCGACUAAGCGUACACGGUGGAUGCCCUGGCAGUCAGAGGCGAUGAAGGACGUGCUAAUCUGCGAAAAGCGUCGGUAAGGUGAUAUGAACCGUUAUAGCCGGCGAUGUCCGAAUGGGGAAACCCAGUGCAAUUCGUUGCACUAUCGUUAACUGAAUACAUAGGUUAACGAGGCGAACCGGGGGAACUGAAACAUCUAAGUACCCCGAGGAAAAGAAAUCAACCGAGAUUCCCCCAGUAGCGGCGAGCGAACGGGGAGCAGCCCAGAGUCUGAAUCAGCUUGUGUGUUAGUGGAACGGUCUGGAAAGUCCGACGGUACAGGGUGAUAGUCCCGUACACCAAAAUGCACAGGUUGUGAACUCGAAGAGUAGGGCGGGACACGUGGUAUCCUGUCUGAAUAUGGGGGGACCAUCCUCCAAGGCUAAAUACUCCUGACUGACCGAUAGUGAACCAGUACCGUGAGGGAAAGGCGAAAAGAACCCCGGCGAGGGGAGUGAAAAAGAACCUGAAACCGUGUACGUACAAGCAGUGGGAGCACCUUCGGGUGUGACUGCGUACCUUUUGUAUAAUGGGUCAGCGACUUAUAUUCUGUAGCAAGGUUAACCGUAUAGGGGAGCCGCAGGGAAACCGAGUCUUAACUGGGCGUUAAGUUGCAGGGUAUAGACCCGAAACCCGGUGAUCUAGCCAUGGGCAGGUUGAAGGUUGGGUAACACUAACUGGAGGACCGAACCGACUAAUGUUGAAAAAUUAGCGGAUGACUUGUGGCUGGGGGUGAAAGGCCAAUCAAACCGGGAGAUAGCUGGUUCUCCCCGAAAGCUAUUUAGGUAGCGCCUCGUGAAUUCAUCUUCGGGGGUAGAGCACUGUUUCGGCUAGGGGGUCAUCCCGACUUACCAACCCGAUGCAAACUACGAAUACCGAAGAAUGUUAUCACGGGAGACACACGGCGGGUGCUAACGUCCGUCGUGAAGAGGGAAACAACCCAGACCGCCAGCUAAGGUCCCAAAGUCAUGGUUAAGUGGGAAACGAUGUGGGAAGGCACAGACAGCCAGGAUGUUGGCUUAGAAGCAGCCAUCAUUUAAAGAAAGCGUAAUAGCUCACUGGUCGAGUCGGCCUGCGCGGAAGAUGUAACGGGGCUAAACCAUGCACCGAAGCUGCGGCAGCGACACUAUGUGUUGUUGGGUAGGGGAGCGUUCUGUAAGCCUGCGAAGGUGACCUGUGAGGGUUGCUGGAGGUAUCAGAAGUGCGAAUGCUGACAUAAGUAACGAUAAAGCGGGUGAAAAGCCCGCUCGCCGGAAGACCAAGGGUUCCUGUCCAACGUUAAUCGGGGCAGGGUGAGUCGACCCCUAAGGCGAGGCCGAAAGGCGUAGUCGAUGGGAAACAGGUUAAUAUUCCUGUACUUGGUGUUACUGCGAAGGGGGGACGGAGAAGGCUAUGUUAGCCGGGCGACGGUUGUCCCGGUUUAAGCAUGUAGGCUGGUUAUCCAGGCAAAUCCGGAUAAUCAAGGCUGAGGUGUGAUGACGAAGCACUACGGUGCUGAAGUAACAAAUGCCCUGCUUCCAGGAAAAGCCUCUAAGCAUCAGGUAACAUCAAAUCGUACCCCAAACCGACACAGGUGGUCAGGUAGAGAAUACCAAGGCGCUUGAGAGAACUCGGGUGAAGGAACUAGGCAAAAUGGUGCCGUAACUUCGGGAGAAGGCACGCUGGUGUGUAGGUGAAGCCCCUGCGGGUGGAGCUGAGACCAGUCGAAGAUACCAGCUGGCUGCAACUGUUUAUUAAAAACACAGCACUGUGCAAACACGAAAGUGGACGUAUACGGUGUGACGCCUGCCCGGUGCCGGAAGGUUAAUUGAUGGGGUUAUCCGUAAGGAGAAGCUCUUGAUCGAAGCCCCGGUAAACGGCGGCCGUAACUAUAACGGUCCUAAGGUAGCGAAAUUCCUUGUCGGGUAAGUUCCGACCUGCACGAAUGGCGUAAUGAUGGCCAGGCUGUCUCCACCCGAGACUCAGUGAAAUUGAACUCGCUGUGAAGAUGCAGUGUACCCGCGGCAAGACGGAAAGACCCCGUGAACCUUUACUAUAGCUUGACACUGAACAUUGAGCCUUGAUGUGUAGGAUAGGUGGGAGGCUUUGAAGCGUGGACGCCAGUCUGCGUGGAGCCAACCUUGAAAUACCACCCUUUAAUGUUUGAUGUUCUAACGUUGGCCCCUGACCGGGGUUGCGGACAGUGUCUGGUGGGUAGUUUGACUGGGGCGGUCUCCUCCCAAAGCGUAACGGAGGAGCACGAAGGUUAGCUAAUCCUGGUCGGACAUCAGGAGGUUAGUGCAAUGGCAUAAGCUAGCUUGACUGCGAGCGUGACGGCGCGAGCAGGUGCGAAAGCAGGUCAUAGUGAUCCGGUGGUUCUGAAUGGAAGGGCCAUCGCUCAACGGAUAAAAGGUACUCCGGGGAUAACAGGCUGAUACCGCCCAAGAGUUCAUAUCGACGGCGGUGUUUGGCACCUCGAUGUCGGCUCAUCACAUCCUGGGGCUGAAGUAGGUCCCAAGGGUAUGGCUGUUCGCCAUUUAAAGUGGUACGCGAGCUGGGUUUAGAACGUCGUGAGACAGUUCGGUCCCUAUCUGCCGUGGGCGCUGGAGAAUUGAGGGGGGCUGCUCCUAGUACGAGAGGACCGGAGUGGACGCAUCACUGGUGUUCGGGUUGUCAUGCCAAUGGCACUGCCCGGUAGCUAAAUGCGGAAGAGAUAAGUGCUGAAAGCAUCUAAGCACGAAACUUGCCCCGAGAUGAGUUCUCCCUGAGACUUUAAGUCUCCUGAAGGAACGUUAAAGACGAUGACGUUGAUAGGCCGGGUGUGUAAGCGCAGCGAUGCGUUGAGCUAACCGGUACUAAUGAACCGUGAGGCUUAACCUU